RNAcentral lists this ribosomal RNA (912 nucleotides) under Escherichia coli. RNAcentral's name for it is "partial 23S ribosomal RNA". It matches the Rfam family "Bacterial large subunit ribosomal RNA", at positions 322 to 1239 of the family's 2925-position model. The record is from RNAcentral. Lineage: Bacteria; Pseudomonadati; Pseudomonadota; Gammaproteobacteria; Enterobacterales; Enterobacteriaceae.
GUGUGUGUUAGUGGAAGCGUCUGGAAAGGCGCGCGAUACAGGGUGACAGCCCCGUACACAAAAAUGCACAUACUGUGAGCUCGAUGAGUAGGGCGGGACACGUGGUAUCCUGUCUGAAUAUGGGGGGACCAUCCUCCAAGGCUAAAUACUCCUGACUGACCGAUAGUGAACCAGUACCGUGAGGGAAAGGCGAAAAGAACCCCGGCGAGGGGAGUGAAAAAGAACCUGAAACCGUGUACGUACAAGCAGUGGGAGCCUCUUUAUGGGGUGACUGCGUACCUUUUGUAUAAUGGGUCAGCGACUUAUAUUCUGUAGCAAGGUUAACCGAAUAGGGGAGCCGAAGGGAAACCGAGUCUUAACUGGGCGUUAAGUUGCAGGGUAUAGACCCGAAACCCGGUGAUCUAGCCAUGGGCAGGUUGAAGGUUGGGUAACACUAACUGGAGGACCGAACCGACUAAUGUUGAAAAAUUAGCGGAUGACUUGUGGCUGGGGGUGAAAGGCCAAUCAAACCGGGAGAUAGCUGGUUCUCCCCGAAAGCUAUUUAGGUAGCGCCUCGUGAAUUCAUCUCCGGGGGUAGAGCACUGUUUCGGCAAGGGGGUCAUCCCGACUUACCAACCCGAUGCAAACUGCGAAUACCGGAGAAUGUUAUCACGGGAGACACACGGCGGGUGCUAACGUCCGUCGUGAAGAGGGAAACAACCCAGACCGCCAGCUAAGGUCCCAAAGUCAUGGUUAAGUGGGAAACGAUGUGGGAAGGCCCAGACAGCCAGGAUGUUGGCUUAGAAGCAGCCAUCAUUUAAAGAAAGCGUAAUAGCUCACUGGUCGAGUCGGCCUGCGCGGAAGAUGUAACGGGGCUAAACCAUGCACCGAAGCUGCGGCAGCGACACUAUGUGUUGUUGGGUAGGGGAGCGU